Molecule: ribosomal RNA, 164 nt
Filed under: uncultured bacterium
Lineage: Bacteria
Description: partial 16S rRNA
Rfam family: Bacterial small subunit ribosomal RNA
Source: RNAcentral
UAGGGAAUCUUCCACAAUGGGCGAAAGCCUGAUGGAGCAACGCCGCGUGUGUGAUGAAGGGUUUCGGCUCGUAAAACACUGUUGUAAGAGAAGAAUGACAUUGAGAGCAACUGUUCAAUGUGUGACGGUAUCUUACCAGAAAGGAACGGCUAAAUACGUACCAG